UUUCCGUAGGUGAACCUGCGGAAGGAUCAUUAAAAAUGAAGCCGGGAAACCGGUCCUUCUAACCCUUGAUUAUCUUAAUUUGUUGCUUUGGUGGGCCGCGCAAGAACCGGCUUCGGCUGGAUCGUGCCCGCCAGAGGACACAACUCUGUAUCAAAUGUCGUCUGAGUACUAUAAAAUAGUUAAAACUUUCAACAACGGAUCUCUUGGUUCUG
Molecule: unclassified non-coding RNA, 212 nt
Filed under: plant metagenome
Description: partial contains small subunit ribosomal RNA, internal transcribed spacer 1, and 5.8S ribosomal RNA
Source: RNAcentral